Molecule: ribosomal RNA, 702 nt
Filed under: Eotetranychus uchidai
Lineage: Eukaryota; Metazoa; Arthropoda; Arachnida; Trombidiformes; Tetranychidae
Description: eukaryotic LSU rRNA
Rfam family: Eukaryotic large subunit ribosomal RNA
Source: RNAcentral
AAAGAAGACCCUGUUGAGCUUGACUCUAGUCUGACUUUGUGAAGAGACAUGAGAGGUGUAGCAUAAGUGGGAGCUUUGGGAUCAAUCUUGACUAUUGUUUCGGCAAUAGUUGAGACCCCUUGGCAAUAAUGAAAUACCACUACUCUCAUCGUUUCUUUACUUACACGGUAAAAAGGAAGUUGGGAUAGUGUCUCUCUCUUCUGGACUUCGGUUCAUGAAUGAGGAGGCCACCUAUCUCUAAAUUCUAGAGCAAAAUGUGGUUCCAACCAUACAUGCCUCAAGACACCUAGUUGUGUUUGGUUUUCUUUAACGAGAGGCCAGAUUCACUAAAGACUUGGGUUUGGUUGGUAACCCGUGUAUGUCAGACCAUUCUUCGGAAUACUGUACAUUACACAACCACAUGAUCCUCGCCGUGGACAUUGUCAGGCGGGCAGUUUGACUGGGGCGGUACAUCUGUCAAAAGGUAACGCAGGUGUCCUAAGGCCAGCUCAGUGAGGCCAGAAACCUCACGUAGAGCAAAAGGGCAAAAGCUGGCUUGAUCCAGACUUUCAGUACGAAUACGGACCGCGAAAGCGGGGCCUAUCGAUCCUUUCGAUGAAUGAGAGUUUCAUCCGAGAGGUGUCAGAAAAGUUACCACAGGGAUAACUGGCUUGUGGCAGCCAAGCGUUCAUAGCGACGUUGCUUUUUGAUCCUUCGAUGUCG